GCAGUACGGUGGCGCAUGGUUAGCACUACUGCCUCACAACAAGCAGAUCGUGGGUUCGAAUCCGACCUGGGGCG
Non-coding RNA from Gymnothorax javanicus (giant moray), 74 nucleotides. NCBI's taxonomy places the organism in Eukaryota, Metazoa, Chordata, Actinopteri, Anguilliformes, Muraenidae. The record is from the annotation of a GenBank genome assembly.